This 603-nucleotide ribosomal RNA is filed under the name uncultured bacterium. RNAcentral describes it as "bacterial SSU rRNA". It matches the Rfam family "Bacterial small subunit ribosomal RNA", at positions 399 to 996 of the family's 1533-position model. The record is from RNAcentral.
CGGUGCAGGAUGAAGGCUUCGGGUUGUAAACUGCUUUUGUACGGAACGAAAAGGCUCUUUCUAAUACAGGAGGCUCAUGACGGUACCGUAAGAAUAAGCACCGGCUAACUACGUGCCAGCAGCCGCGGUAAUACGUAGGGUGCAAGCGUUAAUCGGAAUUACUGGGCGUAAAGCGUGCGCAGGCGGUUUUGUAAGACAGAGGUGAAAUCCCCGGGCUCAACCUGGGAACUGCCUUUGUGACUGCAAGGCUGGAGUGCGGCAGAGGGGGAUGGAAUUCCGCGUGUAACAGUGAAAUGCGUAGAUAUGCGGAGGAACACCGAUGGCGAAGGCAAUCCCCUGGGCCUGCACUGAAGCUCAUGCACGAAAGCGUGGGGAGCAAACAGGAUUAGAUACCCUGGUAGUCCACGCCCUAAACGAUGUCAACUGGUUGUAGGGUCUUCACUGACUCAGUAACGAAGCUAACGCGUGAAGUUGACCGCCUGGGGAGUACGGACGCAAGGUUGAAACUCAAAGGAAUUGACGGGGACCCGUACAAGCGGUGGAUGAUGUGGUUUAAUACGAUGCAACGAGAAAAAACUUAACCACCUUUGACAUGUCCGGAAG